This 301-nucleotide ribosomal RNA is filed under the name uncultured bacterium. RNAcentral describes it as "partial 16S ribosomal RNA". It matches the Rfam family "Bacterial small subunit ribosomal RNA", at positions 509 to 807 of the family's 1533-position model. The record is from RNAcentral.
CAGUAGCCACGGGAAUACGUAGGGUGCAAGCGUUAAUCGGAAUUACUGGGCGUAAAGCGUGCGCAGGCGGUUAUAUAAGACAGAUGUGAAAUCCCCGGGCUCAACCUGGGAACUGCAUUUGUGACUGUAUAGCUAGAGUACGGCAGAGGGGGAUGGAAUUCCGCGUGUAGCAGUGAAAUGCGUAGAUAUGCGGAGGAACACCGAUGGCGAAGGCAAUCCCCUGGGCCUGUACUGACGCUCAUGCACGAAAGCGUGGGGAGCAAACAGGAUUAGAUACCCCCGUAGUCCCUGUCUCUUAUAC